Molecule: ribosomal RNA, 427 nt
Filed under: uncultured bacterium
Lineage: Bacteria
Description: bacterial SSU rRNA
Rfam family: Bacterial small subunit ribosomal RNA
Source: RNAcentral
UGGGGAAUUUUGGACAAUGGACGCAAGUCUGAUCCAGCCAUGCCGCGUGCGGGAAGAAGGCCUUCGGGUUGUAAACCGCUUUUGUCAGGGAAGAAACGAGUUCCUCUAAUACAGAGACUUAAUGACGGUACCUGAAGAAUAAGCACCGGCUAACUACGUGCCAGCAGCCGCGGUAAUACGUAGGGUGCAAGCGCUAAUCGGAAUUACUGGGCGUAAAGCGUGCGCAGGCGGUUAUGCAAGACAGAUGUGAAAUCCCCGGGCUCAACCUGGGACCUGCAUUUGUGACUGUAUAGCUAGAGUACGGUAGAGGGGGAUGGAAUUCCGCGUGUAGCAGUGAAAUGCGUAGAUAUGCGGAGGAACACCGAUGGCGAAGGCAAUCCCCUGGACCUGUACUGACGCUCAUGCACGAAAGCGUGGGGAGCAAACA